UGGGGAAUAUUGCACAAUGGGCGCAAGCCUGAUGCAGCCAUGCCGCGUGUAUGAAGAAGGCCUUCGGGUUGUAAAGUACUUUCAGCGGGGAGGAAGGGAGUAAAGUUAAUACCUUUGCUCAUUGACGUUACCCGCAGAAGAAGCACCGGCUAACUCCGUGCCAGCAGCCGCGAUAAUACGGAGGGUGCAAGCGUUAAUCGGAAUUACUGGGCGUAAAGCGCACGCAGGCGGUUUGUUAAGUCAGAUGUGAAAUCCCCGGGCUCAACCUGGGAUCUGCAUCUGAUACUGGCAAGCUUGAGUCUCGUAGAGGGGGGUAGAAUUCCAGGUGUAGCGGUGAAAUGCGUAGAGAUCUGGAGGAAUACCGGUGGCGAAGGCGGCCCCCUGGACGAAGACUGACGCUCAGGUGCGAAAGCGUGGGGAGCAAACAGG
Molecule: ribosomal RNA, 429 nt
Filed under: Chloroflexota bacterium
Lineage: Bacteria; Bacillati; Chloroflexota
Description: Chloroflexi bacterium partial 16S ribosomal RNA
Rfam family: Bacterial small subunit ribosomal RNA
Source: RNAcentral